Molecule: long non-coding RNA, 357 nt
Filed under: Carica papaya (papaya)
Lineage: Eukaryota; Viridiplantae; Streptophyta; Magnoliopsida; Brassicales; Caricaceae
Description: long non-coding RNA (CPAP_LNC012525)
Source: RNAcentral
GUGAAGAAAUAUCCGGCUCCAUUAACGUUGACGUCAUUAAUGUGCCUAUUUGCAACUUUACUGGGAGCCAUCUUUACAGCAAUUAUUGAUCGUGAAGCCUCAUCUUGGAGAUUGUCUUGGGACAUUACCCUUCUUGCCCCUCUCUAUUCUGUGAGUAUAUUCGUAUAUAACAAUAAAUUAUAUUUUUAUUUACAAAAAAAAAAAAGGAAUUUAAAAUUAGAAGAGAGUCGUUUGAAAAGUUUAAUCAUGGAAUUGCAGGGAAUUCUUGUGUUUGGGGUAACAAUUUACCUUCAAACUUUGGCAGUACGAAUGAAAGGACCAGUUUUUAUUACAGCCUUCGGACCUUUAUCUACAUUA